AAAGAGAUUUUAAACCUUAAAACAUUAUGAAGUACAGGGUAUUUAUCUGGACACUGUGGGACUAGGGAGCAUAGAUUCCUCCUGAUACGAAAGAGAUCAAAGAAAUUUGGGUGCAUUAAUACGGGUUCUUAAUUGUGGCAUUAAUAGUUUUUCUUACAUACAUGUUUUCUCUCUUCUUUUAGAUAACAAGGAGAGGAAUAUUUACAAGCUUCAGAUUUUGGCUGCCUGUCUGAAACUUGAUGAUGUUCCUUGUCACAAGGCCGUAGACUUAGUACUGCCAUCGCUGCCACCUGCACCAUUGUAUCCAAAUGCAAAGGUGGCCGAGGUGCUGAGCAGCCUCCUGGGAGAGGGGUACUUCUUGGAAAAUGUACAGUUGCCACAUAAUCAUCAUAUCGAUUUUGAAAUCAGAAUGGAUUCUAACAGGAGUGAAGUGCUUCCACUUUCUGAUGCGAAUGUAGUAACUUCUGCUACAGAUAUUCAAAGAGUGGCUGUACUGUGUGUUCCUAGAUCUACUUACUGUUUGGAUUUAACCCACCCUAGAGGAUUCCUUGCUACGAAAAUGCGUCAUUUGAAAGUAAUGGGUUUUCAUGUGAUCUUGGUCAACAAUUGGGAGAUGGAGAAACUAGAGAUGAAGGAGGCGGUCACAUUUUUGAAGUCUCAAAUCUAUUCAACUGAAAGUCCUCCUACCGCUGAUGUUAAUUUUCAGAGCACGUGUUAAAGUAAAAAACAACCUUUUCAUAUUAGGAGACAGACAUAAAUUUGUAAAAUAACUUUAAUAAAGACUACAAUUCAACUAUCAA
Long non-coding RNA from Myotis lucifugus (little brown bat), 800 nucleotides. RefSeq lists it as uncharacterized. The transcript is spliced from 4 exons. NCBI's taxonomy places the organism in Eukaryota, Metazoa, Chordata, Mammalia, Chiroptera, Vespertilionidae. The record is from RefSeq and is a predicted model, not a curated record.